AAUAGUUUUUUUCAUAUGCAAAAACUUAUUGUUUGAGAUAAUAAUAUGUUUUAAUUAAUUAGUUUGCAUGAUAUAUAUUGAACUUAAUAACAUAAUUAACAUGUUAAUACAAAAUAAGGUAACCUCUCAUACAUGCUGGGCUGUAGACAACAAAGUCCUUUAAUGUUACUGGGCAAAAAAAAAAAAAUGCAAAAGAACCGGUCGGAUUAGUUGAUCUGAACCGGUAAUGUACCAACCGGUUAACACAGAUUUGAUCUCGUUGGUUAGAGUCUAGACGGGUCAUUUUCAAUUCCGCGAAACACAAUCAACCUAACUUCUUCUUCUCCAUUUUCUUCAUCUUCUUCUCCAUUUUCUUCAUCUUCUUCUUUAAUCUCGUCUUCUUCAGCUCAAAACCUAAACCAAACAAAACCUUAACACCACUUCUUCUCUCGAUCAAUCAAUCAGCGAUUAUUGACCUUUAAUCGACCAUAGAUUUUUCCUUUAAUCCUCAGAGAAAACGUAAUCGAGUGAAGACGGGUCAUUUUCAAUUCCGCGAAAGACAAUCAACCUAACUUCUUCUUCUCCAUUUUCUUCAUCUUCUUCUCCAUUUUCUUCAUCUUCUUCUUUAAUCUCGUCUUCUUCAGCUCAAAACCUAAACCAAACAAAACCUUAACACCACUUCUUCUCUCGUUUGGUCAAUCAGCGAUUAUUCACCUUUAAUCGACCAUAGAUCUUUCCUUAAUCGUCGAUCCCAAUUAACAUGGCUUCGAACGGCGCUUCUCCGAGGAUUGUUGAUGCUACUGAUAACAGCUUGGAUAAGAUUCCGCAGCAAUUGGAAUCGAGGGUUAUCGGAACUUGCUUCUGGGACCUCUUAUUCAAGCGAGCUGAAACUGAAUUAACAUAGAAUCCGACUAAUUGAAAGUUAGAAACUCCUCAACUUAGCAUAAGCAGAUCAAAAAAUGAAGAGAAGG
Molecule: long non-coding RNA, 950 nt
Organism: Arabidopsis lyrata subsp. lyrata
Lineage: Eukaryota; Viridiplantae; Streptophyta; Magnoliopsida; Brassicales; Brassicaceae
Exons: 3
Source: RefSeq, a predicted model, not a curated record